UAGCACACAGCCCUGCCACCUGACCUGGCCGAACUUCACACACUCCCUGUGGCUGAUUUUAAAUGUUUUUUUCUUUUAAAUGUUUUACUCUUUAAUCAUACUAAUAACAGCAGUACAGCUGACAUGAUUUAGAGAUCACUGAAUGGUUUUUCUUUCUUCCAGAGAACUCAUGUGGUGCUCCAUCCUCAAGCUCCUGUGAAGCUGUUACCAUGGCAAUGAAUACUAACACCUCGUUGAAAUAUGAGGACAUCAUUUCCAAAAGUGUUCUGAUCCAAUCAGGAUCUCCUGCUGUCUACCAGCUGAAACUGAAGAAAGAGAACAUUGGAUCUCUAAGAAAAGUUACUCUUGGUGAAAAGAAUCCAAACAAGA
Etheostoma spectabile (orangethroat darter) is the source of this 369-nucleotide long non-coding RNA. RefSeq lists it as uncharacterized. The record is from RefSeq and is a predicted model, not a curated record. Lineage: Eukaryota; Metazoa; Chordata; Actinopteri; Perciformes; Percidae. The transcript is spliced from 2 exons.